This 449-nucleotide ribosomal RNA is filed under the name uncultured prokaryote. RNAcentral describes it as "bacterial SSU rRNA". It matches the Rfam family "Bacterial small subunit ribosomal RNA", at positions 355 to 796 of the family's 1533-position model. The record is from RNAcentral.
UGAGGAAUAUUGGUCAAUGGGCGAAAGCCUGAACCAGCGACGCCGCGUGAGUGAUGAAGGCCUUCGGGUUGUAAAGCUCUGUGGAGAGGAAAGAAAAAAGAAAACCGAAUAAGUUUUCUAAUUGACUGUACCUCUUUAGCAAGCACCGGCUAACUCUGUGCCAGCAGCCGCGGUAAGACAGAGGGUGCAAACGUUGCUCGGAAUUACUGGGCGUAAAGAGCGUGUAGGCGGUCUGGUAAGUCGGUUGUGAAAUCCCUGGACUCAAUCUAGGAACUGCAUCCGAAACUACCAGACUUGAGUAGUGGAGAGGGAAGUGGAAUUCCUGGUGUAGAGGUGAAAUUCGUAGAUAUCAGGAGGAACACCGGUGGCGAAGGCGGCUUCCUGGACACUCACUGACGCUGAGACGCGAAAGCGUGGGGAGCAAACAGGAUUAGAUACCCCCGUAGUCC